AUUGAACGCUGGCGGCAGGCCUAACACAUGCAAGUCGAGCGGUAGAGAGAAGCUUGCUUCUCUUGAGAGCGGCGGACGGGUGAGUAAAGCCUAGGAAUCUGCCUGGCAGUGGGGGAUAACGUUCGGAAACGGACGCUAAUACCGCAUACGUCCUACGGGAGAAAGCAGGGGAUCUUCGGGCCUUGCGCUAUCAGAUGAGCCUAGGUCGGAUUAGCUAGUUGGUGAGGUAAUGGCUCACCAAGGCGACGAUCCGUAACUGGUCUGAGAGGAUGAUCAGUCACACUGGAAAUGAGACACGGUCUAGACUCCUACGGGAGGCAGCAGUGGGGAAUAUUGGACAAUGGGCGAAAGUCUGAUCCAGCCAUGCCGCGUGUGUGAAGAAGGUCUUCGGAUUGUAAAGCACUUUAAGUUGGGAGGAAGGGCAUUAACCUAAUACGUUAGUGUUUUGACGUUACCGUCAGAAUAAGCACCGGCUAACUCUGUGCCAGCCGCCGCGGUAA
Molecule: ribosomal RNA, 500 nt
Filed under: uncultured bacterium
Lineage: Bacteria
Description: partial 16S ribosomal RNA
Rfam family: Bacterial small subunit ribosomal RNA
Source: RNAcentral